UACGUGCCAGCAGCCGCGGUAAUACGUAGGGCGCAAGCGUUGUCCGGAAUUAUUGGGCGUAAAGAGCUCGUAGGCGGCUUGUCACGUCGAUUGUGAAAGCCCGAGGCUUAACCUCGGGUCUGCAGUCGAUACGGGCUAGCUAGAGUUCGGUAGGGGAGAUCGGAAUUCCUGGUGUAGCGGUGAAAUGCGCAGAUAUCAGGAGGAACACCGGUGGCGAAGGCGGAUCUCUGGGCCGAUACUGACGCUGAGGAGCGAAAGCGUGGGGAGCGAACAGGAUUAGAUACCCUGGUAGUCCACGCCGUAAACGGUGGGCACUAGGUGUGGGCAACAUUCCACGUUGUCCGUGCCGCAGCUAACGCAUUAAGUGCCCCGCCUGGGGAGUACGGCCGCAAGGCUAAAACUCAAAGGAAUUGACGGGGGCCCGCACAAGCGGCGGAGCAUGUGGCUUAAUUCGACGCAACGCGAAGAACCUUACCAAGGCUUGACAUACACCGGAAAGCACCAGAGAUGGUGCCCCCCUUGUGGUCGGUGUACAGGUGGGUGCAUGGCUUGUCGUCAGCUCGUGUCGUGAGAUGUUGGGUUAAGUCCCGCAACGAGCGCAACCCUUGU
Molecule: ribosomal RNA, 609 nt
Filed under: Streptomyces sp. TKIRK1
Lineage: Bacteria; Bacillati; Actinomycetota; Actinomycetes; Kitasatosporales; Streptomycetaceae
Description: bacterial SSU rRNA
Rfam family: Bacterial small subunit ribosomal RNA
Source: RNAcentral